Molecule: ribosomal RNA, 459 nt
Filed under: uncultured bacterium
Lineage: Bacteria
Description: bacterial SSU rRNA
Rfam family: Bacterial small subunit ribosomal RNA
Source: RNAcentral
UACGGGAGGCAGCAGUGGGGAAUAUUGCACAAUGGGCGAAAGCCUGAUGCAGCUAUGCCGCGUGUAUGAAGAAGGCCUUAGGGUUGUAAAGUACUUUCAUCGGGGAGGAAAAACAAAACUAAUAAUUUUAUUUCUUGACGUUACCCGAAAAAGAAGCACCGGCUAACUCCGUGCCAGCAGCCGCGGUAAUACGGAGGGUGCUAGCGUUAAUCAGAAUUACUGGGCGUAAAGAGCACGUAGGUGGUUUUUUUAAGUCAGAUGUGAAAAUCCCUGGGCUUAACCUAGGAACUGCAUUUUGAAACUGAAAUACUAGAGUAUCGUAGAGGGAGGUAGAAUUCUAGGUGUAGCGGUGAAAAUGCGUAGAUAUCUGGAGGAAUACCUGUGGCGAAAAGCGGCCUCCUAAACGAAUACUGACACUGAGGUGCGAAAGCGUGGGGAGCAAAACAGGGAUUAGAUACC